UACAGGGGGUGCAAACGUUGCUCGGAAUCAUUGGGCGUAAAGCGCACGUAGGCGGUUCGUUAUGUCGGAAUGUGAAAGGCCCUUGGCUUAACCGAGGAAGUGCAUCCGAAACUGGGCGAGCUAGAGUAACGAAAGAGGAUCGCGGAAAUUCCCGGUGUAGAGGUGAAAUUCGUAGAUAUCGGGAGGAACACCGGUGGCGAAGGCGGCGACUCUGGGUCGAUACUGAACGCUGAGGUGGCGAAAGCGUGGGGAGCAAACAGG
RNAcentral lists this ribosomal RNA (261 nucleotides) under uncultured bacterium. RNAcentral's name for it is "partial 16S ribosomal RNA". It matches the Rfam family "Bacterial small subunit ribosomal RNA", at positions 524 to 776 of the family's 1533-position model. The record is from RNAcentral.